This is a long non-coding RNA of Coffea arabica (coffee), 605 nucleotides long. RefSeq lists it as uncharacterized. NCBI's taxonomy places the organism in Eukaryota, Viridiplantae, Streptophyta, Magnoliopsida, Gentianales, Rubiaceae. The record is from RefSeq and is a predicted model, not a curated record.
GUAGCAACAGUGGAAUUUCAUGCCAUAAAAUAUCUUAUUGACACCCAACGGCCAUCAUGCCUUUGCGGAUAAGGCUAAUCCUUGAGGCAAGGAAAAGAAGAGGAGAGAAACAAAUUGCAUUCCACUCAGCAAAAUGAACACUAUUCCUAAUCAACAUUUUGCACAAGCCAAUUCCAUCCUCUUGUCUCCUCGGGCCAGCUCCAAGACUAGAGCUUCUCGAAGGAGAAAUGAUUUCUCACUGACAACGAAUAGAAGUCAAAAGGCUCCACGGGGAUUGAUCAAGAUAUCAACAGCAGAUGGGAGAUGGCAAAAAAAUUGGAAUCUAGACUACAAUUUGUCACUCCAAGAGCUUCAACUUCAGGAUUUAGCUGAAGAUGGGCAUAAAGAAAAUGAGGUUUCCAUCAGCCUUUGCAUUCACAAGGUCCUUCACUCCUUCAAUGAUUCUCUUAAUGUAAACCAUUCCUUAUUUUGCCUAUGUAGACAUACAUGUGAUAUCUUGGUUUUUUUUCUGAGAAUACAACUAUUUUUGCUGAAAAAUUAGUAUUUACUAUUGAUUGGUAAAUGACCUAUGACUAGACUUUAAAUUAUGCAAAGAAAUUUAGUAA